Molecule: ribosomal RNA, 301 nt
Filed under: uncultured bacterium
Lineage: Bacteria
Description: partial 16S ribosomal RNA
Rfam family: Bacterial small subunit ribosomal RNA
Source: RNAcentral
CAGCCGCCACGGGAACACGUAGGGUGCAAGCGUUAAUCGGAAUUACUGGGCGUAAAGCGUGCGCAGGCGGUUAUAUAAGUCAGAUGUGAAAUCCCCGGGCUCAACCUGGGAACUGCAUUUGAGACUGUAUGGCUAGAGUGUGUCAGAGGGGGGUAGAAUUCCACGUGUAGCAGUGGAAUGCGUAGAGAUGUGGAGGAACACCGAUGGCGAAGGCAGCCCCCUGGGCCAAUACUGACGCUCAUGCACGAAAGCGUGGGGAGCAAACAGGAUUAGAUACCCCGUAGUCCCUGUCUCUUAUACA